CAGCCGCCGCGGUAAUACGAAGGGGGCUAGCGUUGUUCGGAAUUACUGGGCGUAAAGCGCGUGUAGGCGGGUCUUUAAGUCAGAGGUGAAAUGCCAAGGCUCAACCUUGGAACUGCCUUUGAUACUGGAGAUCUUGAGUCCGGGAGAGGUGAGUGGAAUUGCGAGUGUAGAGGUGAAAUUCGUAGAUAUUCGCAAGAACACCAGUGGCGAAGGCGGCUCACUGGCCCGGAACUGACGCUGAGACGCGAAAGCGUGGGGAGCAAACAGGAUUAGAUACCCGCGUAGUCCCUGUCUCUUAUAC
Molecule: ribosomal RNA, 301 nt
Filed under: uncultured bacterium
Lineage: Bacteria
Description: partial 16S ribosomal RNA
Rfam family: Bacterial small subunit ribosomal RNA
Source: RNAcentral